GACGAACGCUGGCGGCGUGCUUAACACAUGCAAGUCGAACGGAAAGGCCCUGCUUUUGUGGGGUGCUCGAGUGGCGAACGGGUGGGUAACACGUGAGUAACCUGCCCUUGACUUUGGGAUAACUUCAGGAAACUGGGGCUAAUACCGGAUAGGAGCUCCUGCUGCAUGGUGGGGGUUGGAAAGUUUCGGCGGUUGGGGAUGGACUCGCGGCUUAUCAGCUUGUUGGUGGGGUAGUGGCUUACCAAGGCUUUGACGGGUAGCCGGCCUGAGAGGGUGACCGGCCACAUUGGGACUGAGAUACGGCCCAGACUUCUACGGGAGGCAGCAGUGGGGAAUAUUGCACAAUGGGCGGAAGCCUGAUGCAGCAACGCCGCGUGCGGGAUGACGGCCUUCGGGUUGUAAACCGCUUUCGCCUGUGACGAAGCGUGAGUGACGGUAAUGGGUAAAGAAGCACCGGCUAACUACGUG
RNAcentral lists this ribosomal RNA (468 nucleotides) under uncultured bacterium. RNAcentral's name for it is "partial 16S ribosomal RNA". It matches the Rfam family "Bacterial small subunit ribosomal RNA", at positions 28 to 507 of the family's 1533-position model. The record is from RNAcentral.